Molecule: ribosomal RNA, 352 nt
Filed under: Segatella bryantii
Lineage: Bacteria; Pseudomonadati; Bacteroidota; Bacteroidia; Bacteroidales; Prevotellaceae
Description: bacterial LSU rRNA
Rfam family: Bacterial large subunit ribosomal RNA
Source: RNAcentral
UAAAGAAAAAAGUAAGAAAGGGCGUAUGGCGGAUGCCUAGGCUCACAGAGGCGAUGAAGGACGUGAUAAGCUGCGAUAAGCUUCGGGUAGGUGCAAAUAACCUUUGAUCCGAGGAUUUCCGAAUGGGACAACCCAUACAUUUGAAGAAUGUAUAUCUCUACCUAAGGUAGAGAGGCAAACCGAGGGAACUGAAACAUCUUAGUACCUCGAGGAAGAGAAAAUAACUAAUGAUUCCCCCAGUAGUGGCGAGCGACCGGGGAAGAGCCCAAACCGUCGUUGUUUCGGCAUCGGCGGGGUAGUAGGACCGCGAUAUUGUAUGUGUUUUGUGAGUAGAAUGUUCUGGAAAGAACAA